UGGGGAAUAUUGGACAAUGGGCGAAAGCCUGAUCCAGCCAUGCCGCGUGUGUGAAGAAGGUCUUCGGAUUGUAAAGCACUUUAAGUUGGGAGGAAGGGCAGUUACCUAAUACGUGAUUGUUUUGACGUUACCGACAGAAUAAGCACCGGCUAACUCUGUGCCAGCAGCCGCGGUAAUACAGAGGGUGCAAGCGUUAAUCGGAAUUACUGGGCGUAAAGCGCGCGUAGGUGGUUUGUUAAGUUGGAUGUGAAAUCCCCGGGCUCAACCUGGGAACUGCAUUCAAAACUGACUGACUAGAGUGUGGUAGAGGGUGGUGGAAUUUCCUGUGUAGCGGUGAAAUGCGUAGAUAUAGGAAGGAACACCAGUGGCGAAGGCGACCACCUGGACCAACACUGACACUGAGGUGCGAAAGCGUGGGGAGCAAACAGGAUUAGAUACCCAAGUAGUCCCUGAGCGGGCUGGCAAGGCGCAU
Molecule: ribosomal RNA, 472 nt
Filed under: uncultured bacterium
Lineage: Bacteria
Description: bacterial SSU rRNA
Rfam family: Bacterial small subunit ribosomal RNA
Source: RNAcentral